GAUGAUUAUACGUAUUAUUAUGAUUAAAAAAAUCAAGCAGUGAAUCCUCCUCACUUGCGGAGUUAAAUGACCUGAGAUGACCUCAAUUUCCCAGCAUUCUUGUCAUAACAAUAUGGCGGCGUCCUUGGACGUGCAGCCGUAAAGUGAGCCAGAUAUUUAUAUGCGACAACUAAAGUUAGAUAUUUGUAUGGCUGAUGUUAUAUAUUUAUAAACAGUACUGUCUUGUUCGAUAGACAACAGAAAAUGUUGUUUUUAGCGGUGUUUUCGAGUUUGGUGUAUUCAGUCGGCGCUGAUUUGCAAGGUGCUUUGAAUGACGUUUGGGAUUUCACUGAGAGUUACCUGCUGUCUGUGUGGCAGGGCAGGUUUUAUGUGUACAUUACUGCCGCUGUUCUCAUAGGAGUCUGGUUUAUUGUCAACACGCUUUUCAAAAAGACAAAAACGGUCAACCCUGUAAAUCCAUGGCCAUAUAAGUCUGCAAAAAAACAGGAACUUUCACCUGUAACAGAAAAGGUCAUUAAUGUUUCUGGGGUCAAAGUCUUCUAUGGAUCAUAGACAGGAACAGCAAAGGGGUUUGCAAAAGAGCUCGCUGAAGACGUCAGCACACAGGGGAUCCAGUGUGAGGUUAUAGAUGUGAAAGAUUAUGACCCAGAUGACAGACUGGCUGAGGAGGAGGAACUGAUGGAGUCCAGCAGUGAUGCAAAGUCCUCUGCUGAUGAAGAGAAGUCUCAUGGCUCCGUCAUUGACAUGGAGGACCUUGGGAAUGUGAUGAAUCGUAUGAAGAAAGCCAAGAGCAUGCAGUUAUGGCAACAAUAUGUCCGCUUCCCCAUGAAAUAAUUUCCGAGAUCCUCAAGGAAGUUGUUUUAGCAACUGGUCAUUCUGCAUAUUUGACCCUUUUACUGGUAUGCAGAUGGUUUAGGGAUGUGGUCACAAAUGAAAUUUUCCAGAAAGCAGCACACUUUGCCUGCCUAGACAGUGUGGUCAAUUGGAAAAAAAUGUCUCUACUGUGAUGAGUUUUGACGUAUCUACAGCAUCAGGUAAUGCUUGGAGCUUUUCAAGUCCUAUCCACCAGGGUACAGGGGAAGAGGAAGACGAGGUGAACUGCUGGGCUUUUACUCCGAAGAUCUUUGUAGAGGAUUUUGCGCACAGGACUUUUUUUUUUUUUUUUGCUGCUGGAAAUGAAUUUCUGUAAAACUCAAAACGUGUACAUGGGAAUUGAGAGAUGAACUGGUUUUGAUGUAGUAAUUGAUGCAACUAAAAGUUAAACUUACAGGUGAAACUAUAAAAAUUAGAAUGUCGUGCAAAAGUUCAUGUUCAGUAAUUCAAAUUAAAAGGUGAAACUACUGUAAUAUAUUUAAUAUAAAUAACUAUAUACAUUUGCAUGGUUAUACUUUUCCGAGGGCUUACUUUUCUGUAAUAUUCUAAUUUUGUGAGGUUUUGAAUUUGGUGUUCAUAAAAAUUAUAACUUUUGCACAAUAUUAAAAUUUUUCGAGUUUCACCUGUAUAGUGUUCUAAUGAAAAGCCAUGACAAAAACAUAGGUUUUACUCAUUGUGCAUAUGGUAAGGUACCUUGGUUCUUUAAGGUAACGGUUUGCAUAAAUUCCAUUCUGCCGAUGCAUAAGUGCAGUUUAGAGUCUAUAAUAAAGAAAAAGUGACAAAGUCUUUGUUUUGUUGUGUUCUUAAGGGCAUGUAUAGAUAGACAACCAACAUAGUUAUUGAUUACAUUUAUGUAAACGCACAAAUACUAUAAUUAAACUUUUUUAUAAAUAUAGCAGUUUUUUAUAAAUAAAGCCAGUGAAGAGUCUUUGAAGAUGGUACGAUGGGGAUAUAAGGGACACAGGUCGAGUGGGAGAAGUUAGACGGCAAGCAGUGGAAGGGUUGAAGAGCAUAAACAGCUGUGCUCUACCAGGCAAGCUAAAACUCUGGUGCUUUCAGUUUGGUCUACUGCCGAGGUUGCUGUGGCCACUGACUGUGUAUGAGGUUUCUUUGACAACAGUGGAUAAGCGUGAAGCGUUAAUAAGUUCAUACAUCAGGAAAUGGUUGGGAGUUCCACACUGCCUCAGCAGAGUGGGACUUUAUAGUAAAGGAAUAUUGCAGCUGCCAGUCUCUGCUUUAACCGAGGAGUUUAAGUGUGCCAAGGUCAGGCUGGAAAUGACCUUAGAGUCACGUAGAGUCACGUGACAAAUGUGUAAGGGAGGCAGCCCCUGUGUUAAAAACUGGUAGGAAGUGGUCAGCAGAGAAAUCUGUAGUAGAGGCAAAGGCUGCCCUUCAAGUUGGGGAUAUUGUAGGACAGGUACAGCAUGGAAGAGGGGGUUUGGGCUUAGUGUAGCUCUUCCUAAAUGGCACAAGGCAGGCCCAGCUCAAAGGAGGAAGCUGGUAGUCAACGAGGUGCGAAAGCAGGAGGAGAGGAUGAGGUGUAUAAAGGCCAUUUCCCAGGCCAAGCAGGGAGAGUGGAUGAGAUGGGAGAGUGUGGAACAACGCAAGUUGGGCUGGCAAGACCUUUGGCCAAUGGAAGAGAGUAAGAUCAGUUUCCUUAUAAGGUCAACAUAAGAUGUCCUCCCAUCACCGCAGAACCUAAACCUCUGGGUAGGAGAGGAUCCCUCUUGUCCUUUGUGUUCAUCACCUGCCACGUUAAGGCACAUUCUGACAGGAUGUAAGGUAGCUCUUAGCCAAGGUCGGUUUACUUGGCGCCAUGACCAAGUACUGCGAUGUUUGGCUUUAGCAUUGGAGGGCUAGCGUAGUAUGACCAAUAAG
Pimephales promelas (fathead minnow) is the source of this 2751-nucleotide non-coding RNA. Lineage: Eukaryota; Metazoa; Chordata; Actinopteri; Cypriniformes; Leuciscidae. The record is from RefSeq and is a predicted model, not a curated record.